UGUACAACUCUGAGCGGUGGAUCACUCGGCUCGUGUGUCGAUGAAGAGCGCAGCCAACUGUGUGAAUUAAUGUGAACUGCAUACUGCUUUGAACAUCGACAUCUUGAACGCAUAUUGCGGCCAUGGGUUAGCCUGUGGCCACGCCUGUCCGAGGGUCGGCUU
RNAcentral lists this ribosomal RNA (162 nucleotides) under Dicrocoelium chinensis. RNAcentral describes it as "5.8S ribosomal RNA". It matches the Rfam family "5.8S ribosomal RNA". Rfam says of the family: 5.8S ribosomal RNA (5.8S rRNA) is a component of the large subunit of the eukaryotic ribosome. It is transcribed by RNA polymerase I as part of the 45S precursor that also contains 18S and 28S rRNA. Lineage: Eukaryota; Metazoa; Platyhelminthes; Trematoda; Plagiorchiida; Dicrocoeliidae. The record is from RNAcentral.